Long non-coding RNA from Bubalus bubalis (water buffalo), 2768 nucleotides. RefSeq lists it as uncharacterized. The transcript is spliced from 3 exons. NCBI's taxonomy places the organism in Eukaryota, Metazoa, Chordata, Mammalia, Artiodactyla, Bovidae. The record is from RefSeq and is a predicted model, not a curated record.
CAGCCAAGAUUGGGAACCACUCAUCUGGGCGCUACAAAAUGGCAGCCUAGAUCAGGAAGGUAGCAGUGAGGCUGAAGAGGAGAGAGAGGUUAGAGGCAGGAUGAACAGCAUUUGUGAGAGGGGAGGAGAGAAGCCUUCCUCCUUCAUUACUGCUUUGGUCCUCCGAGUAGGCAGUGCAGUUCAUUCAUUCACAGAGAGGACUUUAACCGGAGGAUUAGCUGCAACCUGCGGGACAGCGCCGUCCCUUUCCCAGCUGUUUCCCAACAGAUUUCUCCAAACCUCACCAGCUCUUCUCCCAUCUGCCCUCAACCAGCCUGCUGGGAGUCUCCACGGACCAGUGAUACCUGUGUUGGGAGAAGCCGCAGGAAUUGUCUCAGCCAGAUGCUCCGUGAGCUUGGAGCUCCACCCACUUCUAAUCUAGGCUGAUGUAAUCGAGCCCUAAUUCAUCGUCUUCUCAGCUGUGGAAUGGUAGUGAUGCUGUUAGCCAAUGGGCUGGCGCAGACAAAGAUGAGCAAUAGGGCUGUGAUCAUCACGUGUCUGCUCAUUCCUGUCAUUACCACACCAAUGACAGCCAGUGCUGUGACCGAUAAUAUUAAGGGCAUGGGGGUUUUAUUAUGGCCAGUGCUAAUUAGUUUCAGUGGAAGAAAACCCUCCAUCUUGUGGACACAGAUGCACUUCUGAUGCCGUAGAUGUUCCCUGGUCCAAAGGAGAUCAGGCCCCGCCUCAGUAGAGAGGGGGCCUGGUUGGCGGGACCUAUCCUGAUACCAGAAAAACAUCCUUGAGAGUGUGUUCUUUUAAUGUUGAUCUUUUCCCCUAGUCUGGCUGAUAUUGGGUUGGCCAAAAGAAGUGGUUUGGGUUUUUCUAUGCCAUCUUAUGGAAAAAUCCAAAUGAACUUUUUGGUCAACCCAUUUUUUUUUCUCAGCAGAGAGAGAAUGUGGGCUCCUAGUUAGUAGAACAAAAUACUUUGCCCUUGUUUAUUCUGAUCUCUUGCUUUUACUUUUUUUUCCCCCUGAUAGUUCAGGAUUUGCAAACUGGAGACCAGAAUGUUGCUCCUGGUCUUCAGAAGGAUUUUGUUUGGCCAGCGAGUUUUUAAACUUGAAUCUGAAGACCUGCAGGUGGCGUGUGUCUCUGGUUAGGUCGUGACUCACAUAACGUUACCUUCCUGGCCUUUAUCACAUCACUUUGCCCUGUAAACUUUGAUCUUUGUCCUAUAAACUUUGUGCCAGGGUGGAAACAUCUGCCUCACUAAAUCUAUUCUUUUUUGACUGAUCCUCAUGAACCCUUUCAGGACACGUUUUAAGAUCCUAGAGAACAUCUCCUUAUUUGGAAGGACUGCUGUUUAUCAGAGAGCACCAGCUAAGAAGGCCAGGAAGCUCUCUUCUCCGACAUUUAGGGCUUUCGUGGAGUGACCCAACUCCAGGGCGUGGCUCACACAGAGGGCAAUGCGCCUGGAGCCCCUGGGGUGGGCAGGGGGCCCUGGCGGUCUGUAAGGAGCUUUCAGCUCUAGCCUGUUGGGUCAUUAUUACUCUGUCCUGGUUAUGCCAAAAGCUUCUGCCCCUUAGGGGAUGGGCACCCACACUGGAAACUAUAAUCUGAACAGAUGAGCAUGAAGCUGCUCACCAGGGACUCAUUUUGGAUUUGGGCUAUGGGCCCUGCAGGUAGAACAGAGGCCUCGUGCUGAGGAGGAGAAACCAGGGUGGCCGCGGCCCAGGAAGGGGUUCAGAGCGCCAGGAGAGCCUCAGGCCUAAGCCCAGAUCCGCUGCCCACCUUGCCCAGACACGGGCCUGCGCUGAGCUCUGUCUUUUCCUCGUUUUGUCUCUCACAUCUUUUCAUGAGCAAAAAGGGAGGUGCACCUUAACUUCUCCCAGGCCUCUUGUCCUCAAUUUUCCUCAGGAAGGAAAGGUUCGGGGGAUGCCUAGCCAGGGACGGCAGUUCAUUUCAAAAACUCAUGCUAACCUGUGUUCCCUUUCCCGACCUCCAGCCUAUUUUAAUCUUGUAAACGGUAAUGAUGUGUGUGGGGAACAAUUUUGUUGUUUACUGAAGCAGUUGAGUGAUAAUUGCAGAGAAAGGAGAAAGCGGAAGGCUUUCCCCACACCCUGUGUUCCUCUCUGCCAUUCUCUAUGCUAAUAUAGGCCCCCGGUGCUGUGUCUUGUGAAUCAAGAUGACAGACUGGGAAAGGGAGGUUAGGGGGGUCGUUGGAGGGGGAGGGAAGGAAGGAGGUGAGCCCAAGGCCUGGACCCCUCCCAGCGAGGAGAGUAAGUGGCUCUCUCAGGGUGGUUAUGCUGUAAAGAGGGUGUCUGGGCAAAUAGCUCCUGGUCCACAAGGUCUUCUGAAAUAAAGCAAUGGCGGAAAGCUCUUUCUGGUGUCAGAUCAAAAUGUGGUCUGCUUCAACAUGAAAAGGAGGCAGACAGACCAAAUUGGACAAAUAUACGAUUAUUUUAUUUAGCCUUCUUAGGUUAAUCUGUUUCUGUGUGACUACUGUUCAUUCAAAAUUUAUCAUGCUUGAAAUUAUCGGCACCACAUUUCUCUUUAACAGUGUAUAUCCAUUCCUCAGAUAAGCUUCUUGUCACUACCAGAUAUAGAAUGUACCGAGUGGCCAAUGUAUGUAGAAUCCUGUGUGUACCCUGGGCUGGGAAGCCAGAGUGCAGUUUAGUUGAAGAGAUGGCUCAUGUCCCAUAACCGCAGACUGCUUUACACGCAAUAGAACAAAUGUGAAAGUGUUAUAGUUGUCGUGGCUUGAGUGACGUGACCGCAAAACAGGCUGGGAA